This is a long non-coding RNA of Ailuropoda melanoleuca (giant panda), 1225 nucleotides long. RefSeq lists it as uncharacterized. The transcript is spliced from 3 exons. Lineage: Eukaryota; Metazoa; Chordata; Mammalia; Carnivora; Ursidae. The record is from RefSeq and is a predicted model, not a curated record.
GCUGCUGAACGUGGAAGCUUGAGGAGCUCCGGGUGGGGCUGCAGAAACCCUAUUCCUGGAGGCUGAGACUUUGAAAAACAAGUUGUCAUUCAUUACAAAAGCAGCAAUUGUUUUUCUGGUGUCCAACUUUAUCAUUCCGAUUGUUUUGUGCCAUGGCUCCUGCGGCUUCCGUGGCACAACAGGUGGGUUCUCUUAGCAUCUGCUCAACACUCUUCUCUCUUGCCUAGAGGCCGGAGCUACAGAUGGGCUCGUCCAGCCCCUUUCCCUUUGGAGCUACGUGAGAGGAAGCCUGGGGAGGGGAUACUGGACAAGAUCUGAUUCCCCUUCCUAAACAUAAAUCGGGACAAAUGCAAUGAGCAAGGCCUUUUUUCCUUCCCCAUUGUUCUCAUCUGGAGCAUGGAUGUGAAGCCUGUGGGUGCAUAGCCGCCGUGUAACCAGGAGAUGAAAACCUGUGCGCUAAGGGCAUCGCCAGAGUCUGAAAACAUCUAUAAUACUUUAAACCAACGAAAUACCCAAGCUCCUAAGAUGAGAAAAGUGCCAAAAUGAGCUUUAGGAGCAGGAAUUGGUUCACACAAUAUGGGAUGUUGGCAAACCCGAAAUCUGCAGAGCCAAUGACCUUGUUCAAGUCCAAAUACCAGCAGGCUGUGGCAGACCAGGAGAAGGUGAUGUCCUAGCUCAAAGUCAUUCAGGAGCAAGCCAAUCUUCUAUCUUAUCCAGACCGUCAACUGAUUGGAUGCGGCCCACCACAUUGUGGAGACAAUCUGCUUGACUCAAUCUGAUUCAAAUGUUAAUCGUCUCUAAAAAUAUGCUCACAGAAACAAACAGAAUAAUACAGAUAUCCGGGUACCCCAUGGCCCAGUCAAGUUGAUACACAAAAUUAACUGUCACACCAUGUGUGUAUUACAUUAAUACAAAAGGGAAACCAAAAAGGAAGCUCUUUGCAUGAUAUGCCUGUAAGCUUACUUUUCUUUUGUCACUGAAAAAGUUAUCCAUGUGUAUGGAAAACAAUCAAACUGUAACAAAAUGUUGUGUAAUUAAAAAUAAAAGUCCUAGGGGCACCCGACUGGCUCAGUCAGUGGAGCGUGCAACUCUUAAUCUCAGGGUUGUGAGUUUGAGCCCCACCUUGGGUGUAGAUAUGAAAAAUAAAAUCUUAAAAAUAAAUAAAUAAAUGAAAAUAACAAUAAAUAAAUAAAGUCCUAGACCCUCUGACCAGAGUCAUUCACCA